This 358-nucleotide ribosomal RNA is filed under the name Odontophrynus sp. UFMGT7406. RNAcentral's name for it is "partial large subunit ribosomal RNA". It matches the Rfam family "Bacterial large subunit ribosomal RNA", at positions 2007 to 2515 of the family's 2925-position model. The record is from RNAcentral. Lineage: Eukaryota; Metazoa; Chordata; Amphibia; Anura; Alsodidae. RNAcentral also lists the same sequence under 1 other name.
AAGGUUACACUGUCUCCUUUUUCUAAUCAGUAAAACUAAUCUCCCCGUGAAGAAGCGGGAAUCCUUAUAUAAGACGAGAAGACCCUAUGGAGCUUUAAACGAAAUAACAUCUACCAACUCAACCAACAAUUUCAGAAAAUUAACACUAAACUUGGUACAAUGAUUACUAGUUUUAGGUUGGGGUGACCGCGGAGCAAAAAACAACCUCCGCAUUGAAUGGACUUAUAAUCCUAAACAAAAAGCCACAACUUUAUGUAUCAACAUAUUGACAUCCAUUGACCCAUUAAUUUGAUCAACGAACCAAGUUACCCUAGGGAUAACAGCGCAAUCCAUUUCAAGAGCUCCUAUCGACAAAUGG